GUGUGUGUGUGUGUGUGUGUGUGUGUGUGUGUGUGUGUGUGUGUGUGUGUGUGUGUGUAUGUGUGGCAGGAGUGAUCUUCGGCUUAAAUCACGUUUGACUCUGCUGUGCUUUUAACCAUCCCCCAAUACAAAACCAUUUUUAUAUCCGACACGUUUGGACACGUUCUCAAAAAUUCCACCCCGCUGCCAGACUCCACUUCCUGCGUUCGUCUUUUCUAGUUGCCGCAAGACAUUUAAACGCCCCCACCACCCCACCCCCAGACUAUACACAGCCAGUCACCUCCAAAAAACCCACAGCAGUGUUCUCAAGGUAAUUUUCCUGGCUGAUGAAUAGCGCCAUGAUUUGCACAAGCUCAGCACUGCAGCUAAACGUGUCAUUCUAGGCGUUACAAACCUUUUGUAUUUUUCUUUCUUUUUUUUUUAAAUGCUGGAGGCACCAUUUAGAAAGGGAGAUCAAGGCUGUCGAGCUCGAUUCGGUCGGCGGGGGGAUCCAGAGCCAGGUCAGAUGAAGUUUGUUGUUUAAAAAAAGGAUGCUGGAUGAUGAUGAUGAAUUGAGCUUUAAAAUAGUAUGAAGAGGGCAGAAUUAGAGCACUGGGGUAACUAAUCUCAGUGCUGUAGUGAUCUUAAUGCUGUACAAGAUUAUUCAUCGUCUUCAUCCAUAGCCCACCUACUGUAAUUGGACACAGGCAGGGAAAACAUCGUUUUCUCCAUUCAUUUUUGCACUAGAAUUAGAGAUUAUUGAAUUCUUCCCCAAGAAACAGCAUUACAAAGUAAAACAUACUCAAUCCAUGCAGUCAUGACUGAAGAUAAGCGUAAACAGAGGCGUCCUAAUUCUAUUUUACACACGAUCACGUCAUCCUUACUGGCUUUGAACAAUAUUAACAAUAUAAAACCGUUAGCCUAAAAAUAAAUGUAGGAGAAUUAGACAUAAACGAAUAAAUCGAAUUUCAUUGAACAGUGUUACUCGUAUUUCCAGUCUUGUUCUAAAAACUGGAAUUUUUUUUUUCCCCCCUGAAACUCGAAGGUGCGUUUUAUCGUCCCCUAUUCAUUCGGUGAACCGUGAAAAGACGAUCCUGUCGGAGCUUGUUGCAGAUAACCGCAUGCGUUUAUGUAAAGCGUUCAGCUGAAGGCAGCUCAUCAGACCAGAGACCAGCUCUAUGCAUUAGAGUUUUCUGCAGAAGUAUAUUUUUUUUUUUCCUCACCUUCCACUGUAUUUCUGAAAUCUCCAACGAAGACGUGCUUUUAUUUGUCUUAGCAUUUUUUGUUGUUGUUGUUGUUGGAAACACGGCCCUAACAGUGGUUCGAUGAAGAAGGGGAUGACGUGAGACGAACACGUUAAUGAUGUAAAAUGUCGACGUUCUUCACUGUCCUUAUUCGAUGCGAUUCGAUUUUUAGGGAUUUUGUUUAAAACUGGACAUUUUAAACAUUUCGGUUGAUUCGCUGCUGUGCUUUUUGUCUCUCUGUCUGUCUCUGUCUCCGUUUGUCUCUCUCUGUCUCUCUUGGCUUGGCUACAGAGUUAUAGAACAAACUAACAAAUAAGUACAGAAAUAAAGUGAAAAUAACCCUC
Long non-coding RNA from Silurus meridionalis, 1567 nucleotides. RefSeq lists it as uncharacterized. The record is from RefSeq and is a predicted model, not a curated record. Lineage: Eukaryota; Metazoa; Chordata; Actinopteri; Siluriformes; Siluridae. The transcript has 2 exons.